UCCGAUAUGGUCUAGUGGCUAGGAUACCUGGCUCU
RNAcentral lists this small RNA (35 nucleotides) under Bombyx mori (domestic silkworm). Its description in RNAcentral is "ovarian small RNA-27484". Lineage: Eukaryota; Metazoa; Arthropoda; Insecta; Lepidoptera; Bombycidae. The record is from RNAcentral.